CCUGGCGUAGGUGGUGAGCUGCCCGGUCGGCUGGUACUGUUUGCUGGUCACCCUCUCCCCAUUGAACAACGAUGUCUUGCCUUUCCUAAAGCCCCACAUGUUCCGAGUCUGUCUGGACCUUUAGGACUAUGAUUUUGAUUAAUAAUUUUUGACCAGACUUAUCAACAGACUUAAAAACGAAGCCUUAUCUCUGCUGAUGCAUGCCUGACCCUGCAUUACAGCGCGUGGGAGCGGCCUCUUCUUAGUUCAGGUUUCCACAUAAGCGGCACGUUUUCUCUUCCUCCCCUUGGCCCUGCGUAGUAGGUGUUUCCUAGCAGUGACCCAGGCUGACUUGAGCGGGACCCCAAGCUGGUGCUUCCAGGGUAGGGGGCAGUGUGGGAGGUGGACAGGCGUUGUUCCCUUAGGUCGUGUUGUUUUUGUGGCCCCGAAUACCUCGACUUAGGAAACCUUUUUCUGCAUCGUUUGAUCUGUAGACCGGAAGCAUCCCCAAACUUAGAUGAUGUCACAGAGAGACAGACAGGUAUCAUGGCGGCUGCCGCUGGGUUGGGGUUGUGGGGAAAUAGAAGUAGAUGGAAAGCAGAAAAGAGAACAAGGGUGUCCGGGCUGCCACGGGACUAAGCCAGGAACAUGCCCAAGUGGCUUAGCUGUUCAUCGUUUGAGAACAGGGUGCUCUUUCUAGAACACAGGCAACCAGGAGGGCGUGAAAGGAGGAGGGGGUCUUGCAAGGCCAAACGAGAAAGUGUGAGAUGAAGGCGGCCCCACCAGCGUGCGGGUGUCCCCACCUGGUGGAGCCGCACCCCUACCGGGGUGGCCGGAGAACACAGGAGGUCAGAAGAACCAGCACAUCCACGUGCCACUAGUUCACUCCUCAGAAUCCCAGGAAUGACAGCCUCCAUGGGGACCAUGCGGCGGCAAGCUGAUGCUGGGACAGGGUGCGUGAGGAGCGUGGCUGACAUUUAUUAAACAUUUGCUUUAUGCCUAAUACUCUCCUAAGCGUUUUCCACAUGUUAAUUAAUUCAAUGUGCUCGACGACCCUAUAACUUUGUACUUGCAUUAUCCACAGUUUGCAGAUGGGGAAACUGAGGCACAACAG
This is a long non-coding RNA of Manis pentadactyla (Chinese pangolin), 1093 nucleotides long. RefSeq lists it as uncharacterized. The record is from RefSeq and is a predicted model, not a curated record. NCBI's taxonomy places the organism in Eukaryota, Metazoa, Chordata, Mammalia, Pholidota, Manidae. The transcript has 3 exons.